GAAUUCCAAAGUCAUCGUGUUAAGCAAAACAAUUUGGACAUUUUUAACUCCUUCAGACUUUAACCCACGACGAACAGAACGUGCAACAUGCAAGGAAGUUAUUAAAAAUGUUUUUAGUUAUUUCCUUCUUGUUUCAAAUUUUCUUGUAUUACAACCUCUAAAACAUCCAGUGUAGUUCAUUUUUUACGUUGUCUUGAACAAUUUUGAGACUAUAUAAGCUACACCCAAACACUGGGUCUUCACUCGACGUUUUAACGCAGAGUCCUUCAAUAGCAAGUAACUGCAGUAUCCGAGAUGGAAUCAGUUCGCCAGUUUCUCUACCAAACUGCAACCUUGGCUAUGGUAGCCAUGUUUCAGAUGGCGCUUGCCCAGUACCAACCCGAACAGAACGGUGAUUUCCUGUACGGCAAUUACAGAUACCUGAACGGAUACCGUUACUAAGGAUCCAACGAUUGUUUUGAGGCCGGCGAUGUAUGGAUACGGCAAUGAAAACUAGUCAACAAAGAAGACAUCUUGUCAACAUGAUAUUUAUAGUAACAAAGUUGGUGGCCAAAACAUUUGUUGUACAUAAAUCAUUCAGAGGUCAAUAAAUAAUCGUUGUUCCUAUUAA
Molecule: long non-coding RNA, 610 nt
Organism: Saccostrea cuccullata (small rock oyster)
Lineage: Eukaryota; Metazoa; Mollusca; Bivalvia; Ostreida; Ostreidae
Exons: 2
Source: RefSeq, a predicted model, not a curated record